RNAcentral lists this ribosomal RNA (497 nucleotides) under uncultured bacterium. Its description in RNAcentral is "partial 16S ribosomal RNA". It matches the Rfam family "Bacterial small subunit ribosomal RNA", at positions 28 to 507 of the family's 1533-position model. The record is from RNAcentral.
GACGAACGCUGGCGGCGUGCCUAAUACAUGCAAGUAGAACGCUGAAGAGAGGAGCUUGCUCUUCUUGGAUGAGUUGCGAACGGGUGAGUAACGCGUAGGUAACCUGCCUGGUAGCGGGGGAUAACUAUUGGAAACGAUAGCUAAUACCGCAUAAAAUUGAUUAUUGCAUGAUAAUUAAUUGAAAGAUGCAACUGCAUCACUACCAGAUGGACCUGCGUUGUAUUAGCUAGUUGGUGAGGUAACGGCUCACCAAGGCGACGAUACAUAGCCGACCUGAGAGGGUGAUCGGCCAACCUGGGACUGAGACACGGCCCAGACUCCUACGGGAGGCAGCAGUAGGGAAUCUUCGGCAAUGGGGGGAACCCUGACCGAGCAACGCCGCGUGAGUGAAGAAGGGUUUCGGAUCGUAAAGCUCUGUUGUAAGAGAAGAACGGGUGUGAGAGUGGAAAGUUCACACUGUGACGGUAUCUUACCAGAAAGGGACGGCUAACUACGUG